Molecule: long non-coding RNA, 466 nt
Organism: Pseudophryne corroboree (corroboree frog)
Lineage: Eukaryota; Metazoa; Chordata; Amphibia; Anura; Myobatrachidae
Exons: 5
Source: RefSeq, a predicted model, not a curated record
UGGAAGGAAGGAGUAAACACAAAGGUGGAGUUCACAUACUGGAUAACACUUUGAUUCUAUAGAAUACUUGAUACAUAUACGGAUUGGCAUUAACCAACGGGAUGUGGUCCUGUUUUAAUUAAGUUUUACAGCGAAAUCUAUACCAAUAUACGGGAAGAAAGGCUGAUUGCAUUUCUAAGCAGCGGAGGCCUUGACCUACUGCUAUCACAGCGUUUGCUUUUGAAUUUUGAAUCAUUACCACUAGGUGAUUUAUCCAUCAAUACAAACAUUGGAGUUAUAAAGGGAAAAUUUUGAAUUAAGUGCAGAUAUCCGAUCGAUCAUCCUAUUGGGCAUUAAGAUCCCACAUGUGUGACAUCGGAAACGUAUACCUCAGAUGAAGUCUCUCGUGGACGAAACACAUUGGGUUUUAUGAACAAUUUCAUCUGAACAAACUGAAUUGUAUUAUUGUCGGUGUAAAACUAUUUUA